UACGAAGGGGGCUAGCGUUGCUCGGAUUGACUGGGCGUAAAGGGCGCGUAGGCGGCCGAUCAAGUCAGAUGUGAAAGUCCUGGGCUUAACCUGGGGGACUGCAUUUGAUACUGAUUGGCUUGAAUGCAGGAGAGGAUAGCGGAAUUCCCAGUGUAGAGGUGAAAUUCGUAGAUAUUGGGAAGAACACCGGUGGCGAAGGCGGCUAUCUGGACUGUGAUUGACGCUGGAGGCGCGAAAGCCGUGGGGAGCAAACAGG
Molecule: ribosomal RNA, 256 nt
Filed under: uncultured bacterium
Lineage: Bacteria
Description: partial 16S ribosomal RNA
Rfam family: Bacterial small subunit ribosomal RNA
Source: RNAcentral